GUUUAGGGGUAAACCUGAGAAACCCGAAAGGUCGAAGGGAGAAAUUCAUUCGCGUUUCGCUACAGGCAUUGAUGGGGUUAUAUGACGAUGGAUUCAUCAUUUAUGAUGGGUUCAAUGCAUUUUCCUUUCAUAUGAUCCGGUGGCGAACGCGUGCACUUUUCUUCUGGUAGGACGUCGCAAUCCGUUGAGGGUCGAUCUACGGUUUUACGGUGGAGCCCGCUAGUGACUUAUUCACGUAUGUCACAAGUGGACCUGUUCAACCUGGUCGAUCGCAAUUGUUUUCAUUUAAUUGGAAACUCGACGGUAUACAAAUGGUUUGGGGCCGCUCUUUCUGGAGCGUUCGGCUCGUAACAAGCGCGCUAGAUGUGUUGAAGUCCGGACCUAGUGCCUGACCCGACCUCUAGUGACUGUUGGUUGCGAUGUUCUCGAACAGACCUCACUAAGAACCGAUUGGCGACGCUAUAGAUUUGGGUAAUUUCAGGACCCGUCUUGAAACACGGACCAAGGAGUCCAGCAUGUACGCAAGUCAUUGGGUAUUAUACGAAACCUAAAGGCGUAAUGAAAGUAAAGAUCUUUCUUGUAGAGAUCGAGGGAAGACAAGCGGUUUUAAGUUUUUAUAGGCUGCCGUUUUGCAUUCCCGGGGCGUCUCAUUCUCAUUGCGAGUCGAGGCGCACUAAGAGCGUACACGCUGGGACCCGAAAGAUGGUGAACUAUGCCUGGUCAGGAUGAAGUCAGGGGAAACCCUGAUGGAGGUCCGUAGCGAUUCUGACGUGCAAAUCGAUCGUCGGAACUGGGUAUAGGGGCGAAAGACUAAUCGAACAUC
Molecule: ribosomal RNA, 823 nt
Filed under: Indocryphalus pubipennis
Lineage: Eukaryota; Metazoa; Arthropoda; Insecta; Coleoptera; Curculionidae
Description: eukaryotic LSU rRNA
Rfam family: Eukaryotic large subunit ribosomal RNA
Source: RNAcentral